This 4241-nucleotide long non-coding RNA is filed under the name Triticum aestivum (bread wheat). RNAcentral describes it as "long non-coding RNA (TAES_LNC001445)". The record is from RNAcentral. Lineage: Eukaryota; Viridiplantae; Streptophyta; Magnoliopsida; Poales; Poaceae.
CAAGGAGCUCAAGGUGAAUAGGCGGUGGGAAGGUGAGAGGAAGCAGGAGCUCAUCUCUCCUCCAAUGGCUGCCUCGUGCAUCUGGAGGACAACACGUGCUUGUUGGAGGCGACUCGAGCGAUGCAGGUCAGCGGCGAACUAGGUGCUCCACUCUUUCUCUCCCUCACUUCCUUCCUCACUCAUAUUUUACCCUGCUAAUUUUUGGAUUUUUAAACUUGGCGUGUGCAGAUCUGACAUAGAAGACCACGUUCCUCAUAUUCAAAAGUGAUCUUCUUCCAAUGGCUCUAAUGGUAAUUUAUAACCUCUUUUGAUGUACCGCAGUUGUGUCAAGUUUGCUGACAUCCUCGUGCUGCAACUGGCUUGGUAUAUUUGGUUAAUCGUAACCAGCAAAGAGGAGGAGUCACAUACAUGCGCACCUGCCAGCGGCAGGCAGGUCGAAUUGUCGCGCCACCGCAUCGUCGCCUCCUCUGCACCAUGAGGUGCCACCUCUGCCUCCACCCCCCACCGGGCAAGGAGCUCGAGGUGAAUAGGCGGUGGGAAGGUGAGAGGAAGCAGGAGCUCAUCUCUCCUCCAAUGGCUGCCUCGUGCAUCUGGAGGACAACACGUGCUUGUUGGAGGCGACUCGAGCGAUGCAGGUCAGCGGCGAACUAGGUGCUCCACUCUUUCUCUCCCUCACUUCCUUCCUCACUCAUAUUUUACUUUGCUAAUUUUUGGAUUUUUAAACUUGGCGUGUGCAGAUCUGACAUCGAAGACCACGUUCCUCAUAUUCAAAAGUGAUCUUCUUCCAAUGGCUCUAAUGGUAAUUUAUAACCUCUUUUGAUGUACCGCAGUUGUGUCAAGUUUGCUGACAUCCUCGUGCUGCAACUGGCUUGGUAUAUUUGGUUAAUCGUAACCAGCAAAGAGGAGGAGUCUCAUACAUGCCUGCUAUUCUUUAUGUGGUUGUAUGAAGUGUACCUUCAACUAAUCAAGCAACCUGGCAUUAGUAGUUUGUUUAAUUAAUAUCACUCUCAUCAAAGAGUAUGAUAUCAUUUAGCUAGCCUCCUUUCUUUGUAAGAGGGAUAGUGUAAAGGUUAGAAAUGGGUAACGGAAUGAGUGUUCUCAUUUUUACUGCCCCUGGAUUUAGGGAAUAUAUAUGCGUAUAUAUUGAUGCUCAUCGUUGCCAUGUCUGGCUCUUCAGGUGCAUGCUAGCUAGAAGUUCAGAUUUGUAAUCAACGAGUGUAAAAUUGAUUGUCUCUGGUUACUCUCGUGAUCUGUAUCUAGAGGGCAAGUCAGGUCUUGGAAUGCUGAGGUGAGACUUUCCAUGGCCUCUGUUUUUCUUGAUGGGUGGAUUACACAUUACUUCCUUGGAUGUUUAAAGAUUAUUAUAUCAUUGCUCCCCUUUUUAUCGGCAAGCAUUCUCUCAUCUUCUGGUAACUUGAGUAAGAUGCAACACACUAAUGCUUUCUUAGUCUGGUUUGUUGCAAAAAAUAAUUGAAGUGUGCAGACAGGCAGCAUGGAAACACUAAAGAGAAGUUUCAUACGUACUAAUAGCUGGAGUGAUUUGAUACCUGUAGUAACCGUCUUAGAAUAAAUAAGAUUCAGCUAUUUCUAAAGAUAUUAGACCAUAAGAUUAUUCUUAAGUAAAGAUGUUUCAUGCUUCUGUUUCUGCAAAAUUUCUAAGAGUAUAUGAUUUCAUUUUCCUUCUUUCCCAGUUAUAAAUUUAUUGGCAUCAAAGUAGAGCUUCAGGUUUAUGGUUCAGUAUAUCAUUGCAAAGUAGUUUAUGGCUCAGUAUAUCACUACAGGUUCCUUACACUCUCAAAUUUCAAUGUUUUUGUAUUUUUGUCGAUGGAACCAUGUUCUUUGACUAUAAAGUAGCAGAGAUUUCUUUUCUAUCAAUUCUAAUCCCUUUUUAUGCAUUGCUGGUUUGCUAUCAAACUCUCAAAAAUGGAAAAACAACUUUACUUUGGUUUUUUGAGAACCUUCCUGUAGAGUACCUCGACAGAGACAAAUAUGCGGUCAAGGAUAUAUUCGAUGGAUUUUCAUGCCAAACUUGGAGGAUAUUUUUGCAGGUUCGUUGCUUGCAUUAUUGUUUUCUUACUUUCUGUUCUUCAAGACAAUAUCUUCCUAGCAUUGCUCUAUAAAUUUAAAUCCAUCUUUUUGUUCUUUGGAUUAUCAUGGCGUACUCAUCCUGUGUAAUCCAAGCAAGGGCCUUCAUGUUUGCAGAUAGUUUGGUACUCUCGUGGUUAUUUUUGUGGUGAUUUGCCUUCUAUUCAUUACUUGGUAACCAUCUACUGCAGGUCAGCUAUUGUCCAGCUGCUAACCUUAUGGUGAGUGGUUGAUGGUGCAUGUUUUCCUAUUAGUUUCUCUCUAUGCCAAUGUCUGAAUUUUAUCUUGCCGUUUUGCAUUUCUACAGGCCUUUCAUUCUCAUUGUGAUUCCCCGAGAUGCGCUAUUAGUAGGCAUCCACUUUCUAAUAAAAAUUUGGAAGUCAACUUGAAAAGAGUCAUUUAUCUAGCUACAGCAACCUUCCUUGCUUUUGCAAAUAAUACUUUAUGGUUGACAAUAUAGUCUACACCUGCCAAACAUUUACACGUUAGUAUAACCAGAAAGUCAGAUGAUCGUUCCAUGUUGGUUAGCCGUGAUAAAUCAAAUUUCUAGAGUAGCAGAUGAUUCGUGUCAGGUUUCUUUUAGAGAUUGAAAUAUGUCUUGACUCCGAAAUAAGUAGUACAACGUCCAGUUCUGCAUAGGUGAAAGCAUACUGUGCAAAACCGGACAGCCUUCUAAAGCUCUGAAACUACUAUUUGUUUUUGUUUUUUGCGGUUAACUACUACUUGUUGUGUGAUCAGUACCCCCUUUUUAUACUCUGUAUAUGCUUUCUACUUACUAGGAAAAAAUGCGUGAGAACGAUGGCCUAGAGGAUGUGAAUUGCACUCGAAUAUAUGCAGGUUUCUUGCCAAACUAACUGCCACUAUUAUAUUUCAGGUGCUUCUUCUGUAACUUAGUGUAUUUUCCUGGCUCUUCUCAUUUCCUGGCGAACUUUUUAGUAUGUACAGUUGAAUCGUUGGAAGUUGUUUUCUACUAUCUAUAGAGGUUUUAUCCAAACUAUUAGCUGCCUGACUUGCUUUUUCGAAAUACACCGUCCUGAUAGACAUUUCCAUGGGAUGUUAGAAAAAUAUAUGUGAAUUUGCAUACAUUUUAUAAAUUCCUAUCUUUACUUAUCCAUGCUUCCCCAUAGAUAAAUAGCAGGUUCAACAAAAAUGAAUGUUCUCUUUUGUUCAAAUUUCAAGAAAGUGUGCUUCACGCUUCUCUUUCUGCAAUAUGUUUCGGAGUGUAUGAUUUGAUUUUCCUACUUUCCCGGUUACAAUACUGUGUACUUCAUUCCUAGCUUUGCUUGAAAUAGGUAUGCAGGUUAUCGAAAGCUCCAUUUUUCUCCAUUAUAUAGAUUAUAUAGCUUUGUGAUCAAAGGUAGGUUGUCACACAGGGGAUUUGGCUUGUGAAAGUUAUAUACAUCCAUGAGUCCCUAACAAAAUAAUCGCAGCUCAUGUUAAAAGGAUCAGGGAACCUCGACCAUUUUUCUGAAACAUGUCUCAGCUCAUGUUCCGACUUUCUACACUACUAUGUACUUCAUUCUUACCUUUGCUUUUGGAAGUUACAUUCUUUCUUUUCCCUCGUAAACUUGCUAACGAUAUUGGCAAAGUAAUCCCCACUUCAUAUUUCCCAUUGAAUGAAUAACUAAUUUAGAUUGUUCAAAAAUUGUAGGUCAAGAGGCAUGAAUAGGAGCAGGGCAUCACACUCCAGCUCUGAGAAGGAAAGGAUAUGAAGACAAAGAUAUAUGAGUGUUGUGCUCCGACGCAAAAACAUUUUGCGUGUAAUAAUGAACUGUAAUUUACCACAAUCUCUCUACAACAGGCCUACCUAUUACCAUCCGUUGCUUGCUUUUGUAUUAGGAAGUAUGACUCAGUCAUAUAUAUUUACAUUCACGUUGUUUAGUUAUGGUUCGUAUGCAUGAACAUACCUUUUUAACCGAGCUUGAAAAUUCUUAUGUGUAGUGAAAUUGCAUCUAGCACUUUAGACAUCAUAAUCAUAAAUGGUUGCUAAAGAGUUUGAAUUGGUAAAGUGGUUGCAUCCGCUGUUACAGGUCUGGAAUGUUCCUCCAUGCUAAAACCUAAUUUAAUUUUGAAAACACUUUGUGUUUGAAAUUGACAUUGUGCUGUUUGGUGUAAUGGGCCAUUUGUGUAACCAUGCAUGCAGAGAAAUCAGAAAU